GGGGCAUUAGCUCAGCUGGGAGAGCACAACGCUGGCAGCGUUGGGGUCAGAGCGGUUCGAACCCGCUAUGCUCCACCA
Molecule: transfer RNA, 78 nt
Filed under: Campylobacter jejuni
Lineage: Bacteria; Pseudomonadati; Campylobacterota; Epsilonproteobacteria; Campylobacterales; Campylobacteraceae
Description: tRNA-Ala
Rfam family: tRNA
About the family: Transfer RNA (tRNA) molecules are approximately 80 nucleotides in length. Their secondary structure includes four short double-helical elements and three loops (D, anti-codon, and T loops).
Source: RNAcentral